UACGGGGGGGGCAAGCGUUGUUCGGAAUUACUGGGCGUAAAGGGCUCGUAGGUGGCCAACUAAGUCAGACGUGAAAUCCCUCGGCUUAACCGGGGAACUGCGUCGGAUACUGGAUGGCUGGAGCUCGGGAGAGGGAUGCGGAAUUCCAGGUGUAGCGGUGAAAUGCGUAGAUAUCUGGAGGAACACCGGUGGCGAAGGCGGCAUCCUGGACCGAAACUGACACUGAGGAGCGAAAGCCAGGGGAGCAAACGGG
This 253-nucleotide ribosomal RNA is filed under the name uncultured bacterium. Its description in RNAcentral is "partial 16S ribosomal RNA". It matches the Rfam family "Bacterial small subunit ribosomal RNA", at positions 524 to 776 of the family's 1533-position model. The record is from RNAcentral.